Molecule: unclassified non-coding RNA, 460 nt
Filed under: Lumbricillus rivalis
Lineage: Eukaryota; Metazoa; Annelida; Clitellata; Enchytraeida; Enchytraeidae
Description: sequence contains ITS2
Rfam family: 5.8S ribosomal RNA (bases 4-124)
Source: RNAcentral
GGGUCGAUGAAGAACGCAGCCAGCUGCGUGAAUUAAUGUGAAUUGCAGGACACAUUGAACAUCGAUAUCUUGAACGCAUAUUGCGGCCUCGGGUAGUCCCGAGGCCACGCCUGUCUCAGGGUCGGUUACAAGUCAAUCGCGAAGUCGCUCUCCGCUCGCGCAUUGGGCGUCAAAGCAGGUCGACCGUCGUCGCCGCCGCCGCUCGUCGGCGGCGGAGUCGACGCACACCAACGCUCUGUCGCCUCAAGUACAGACGGGUUGCCCGGCCGCGUUCGGCUCGGGACGGUGACUCGACUCUCGAAGAGCGCACCGCAUCUCCCGACGUCGUUCGUUCGCGUCGAAAGCCCAACACAGCAGACUUUCGUCGACGGCUGCUCUCCUGUCGCCGACGCCUUCGUCUACGUAUCACAACGACUUCGACCUGAGAUCAGACGAGAUUACCCGCUGAAUUUAAGCAUAU